This 102-nucleotide transfer RNA is filed under the name Rhodotorula diobovata. RNAcentral's name for it is "Rhodosporidium diobovatum tRNA". It matches the Rfam family "tRNA". From Rfam's summary of the family: Transfer RNA (tRNA) molecules are approximately 80 nucleotides in length. Their secondary structure includes four short double-helical elements and three loops (D, anti-codon, and T loops). Further hydrogen bonds mediate the characteristic L-shaped molecular structure. tRNAs have two regions of fundamental functional importance: the anti-codon, which is responsible for specific mRNA codon recognition, and the 3' end, to which the tRNAs corresponding amino acid is attached (by aminoacyl-tRNA synthetases). tRNAs cope with the degeneracy of the genetic code in two manners: having more than one tRNA (with a specific anti-codon) for a particular amino acid; and 'wobble' base-pairing, i.e. permitting non-standard base-pairing at the 3rd anti-codon position. Lineage: Eukaryota; Fungi; Basidiomycota; Microbotryomycetes; Sporidiobolales; Sporidiobolaceae. The record is from Rfam by way of RNAcentral.
GGCGUUUUGGCCGAGUGGUCUAAGGCGUUAGCUUCAGGUUCACAGCUUCUAGCAUGUGUUCGCUAAUCCGAAAGGGCGUGGGUUCGAAUCCCACAGACGUCA